RNAcentral lists this ribosomal RNA (254 nucleotides) under uncultured bacterium. RNAcentral's name for it is "partial 16S ribosomal RNA". It matches the Rfam family "Bacterial small subunit ribosomal RNA", at positions 524 to 776 of the family's 1533-position model. The record is from RNAcentral.
UACAGAGACUGCAAGCGUUAUUCGGAUUCACUGGGCGUAAAGGGUGCGCAGGCGGCCAAGUGUGUGAGGCGUGAAAGCCCGAAGCUUAACUUCGGAAUUGCACCUCAAACUACAUGGCUAGAGCAUUGGAGAGGGUAGCGGAAUUCACGGUGUAGCAGUGAAAUGCGUAGAUAUCGUGAGGAACACCAGUGGCGAAGGCGACUACCUGGCCUGUUUCUUGACGCUGAGGCGCGAAAGCUAGGGGAGCAAACGGG